Sturnus vulgaris (Common starling) is the source of this 1331-nucleotide non-coding RNA. The record is from RefSeq and is a predicted model, not a curated record. NCBI's taxonomy places the organism in Eukaryota, Metazoa, Chordata, Aves, Passeriformes, Sturnidae.
UGUUAGCAGAGGAAAUAAAAAAUAAAAACUUGCGACAAAAGAAAAAGCAUCUGCGGGAGCCGACCCGCCCCGCAGGAGGGGGAUGUCUGCCUGUCGUGGCUCGGCGGUACUCUCAGUUUGUUUUCUUAGUGGCUCUUUGAUGUCUUUUUCAGCGUGUCAGUUGUCGGGUGAACGCUGUGUUCCCACACACGUAAAGCCCACUGCACAUCCCAGCCAACAUCAACACCCCUUCCAAAGCAGAUUUGGCAUCAUCAGGAGUGCUGGAGUAAAUUUCUCGACUGUUUGAUAGGGUGCUGGCGUGCUCACAGACAGCUCAGCAAAACAAGACUCUGGGGACGUCCGUGAGUUCUCAUAAACACCGUGUCUGUGCAGCAAAACGUUGCUUUAUCAGACACAUAAAUUCCAAACGUGUGUGCCUCUAAGUCCUGAGCUUGGCAGUCUUCCUGAUGCAGACAAGAAAUGCUUUUUAAGUCAUCACAAGAGGCCUUCACAAGAAGAACAGUGAUGCUUAUGUUGGAGAAUUCUAAUUCCUCAGCUUUGGCACUCCUGCAGCUGUCUCUUCAGCAAUUCCUGUGUUGUCAUCUGAUUCUACACCUGCUCAAGGAACACUUACAAAGGGAGCUGAGUCAUCUUCUAAAUCUGGACCAUCAUCUUCUGAACACAAAACCUUCCUCUGCAGGACUUAAGGGCAAGUAUUAACUGUGUCAUUUUGCAUAGGAUGUUUUAGCUUCUCUUACUUUAAAUUACUUGUGUGUCUAACUGAAAAGCACAUAAUUUAGCUGUAUCCACCAAAAUUUUAUUUGUGUCAUUUGUGUUACAUAGUGCCAAAUACUUAUUUAUCUUCUUACUUCUGUGUCCUAUUUCCUUCUUUUUUUUAAUUAAUCGUCAUUUCAAAAUAGACUCACAUCUUCACUGGAUUGUUUUUGUACAUGCAUGUAAUUUCUGUGAACUGUGGCUACUUUGCUGUCAUUCAGGAACCUUUGAGUCUCAAGGAACAUAACCUCCUCUAUAAUCAAAUUGUUAUUCCAGUUAUUCAUAACAUUAAGAGACACUCACUGUGAAUAUCAGUCUGACUUAAGUCAUCUGAUAUACUUAGUAUUUAAAAGGGCUGAUGAAUGAGGACAUGUGUUAGACACUGUAAAAGUGAAGAAAAAGAAAGAUUAAUUGUCUAUGUCUUAUUAUUUUCGUAGCACUAUAAAAUAUCAUACACAUUCUUUGAAUUUUUAAAUGGAUGGACUUGUUUCCUGACUUGUCUCUGUGCUUGCCAAAAAUGUGUGCUCUUGUAGUUUGAAACCACUCUAGCACUACUACAAGUGAUUAAUACUAGGAUU